Molecule: long non-coding RNA, 766 nt
Filed under: Equus asinus (donkey)
Lineage: Eukaryota; Metazoa; Chordata; Mammalia; Perissodactyla; Equidae
Description: lncRNA (ENSEASG00005037050.1)
Source: RNAcentral
AUGGAGCCAGCCACAGGCGGACACUCCCAGGAAGGAGGGAUUGUGUGAGGUCAGGCUGCCAGGAUGACGCCGAGACAAGAUCGUGAGUGAAAUCAAAUGGUGAUAACAGAGCUCAGGUCUCUGCCUGUGGGCCUUAGCCAGGGCCUAGCGCAGCCUCCAUGUAGAGCCGGAAGGGGCCUGCAGGGACCAUCCAAUCAACUCCUCACUAUUCAGUUGGGGAAACUGAAGCCCACAGGGAGGUGUCUUGCCCCUGUCAGAGUUAAUGACAGAGCCGGGACUAACACUUGGAUCUCUGGCCUCCCAGUCCUGGGCUUCCACCCCAUCUCAGGCCUCUGCCCCUCCUGGGUAGAUGAAAUCUCCCAUUUUUAAAAAAAGACCACUCCACCCAGGCAGGUGUCACAGCCUUCCUCACAUCCCCAAAUCGGGAUCCAACAAUUCUUCAAUCAACAACCGUUCCUGGAGAGUCCACCAUAAGCAAGUCUCCCUGGAAACACAAGCUGUUCGACAGAUUUCUGCCCCCAAGAAGCCACAGUCUGAUGGUGGAGGGGCCUAUAGAGGACAGACAGGCGAUACUGCUGGCGCUUCAGCGUAUUUGCCCCUGUGUGCUCGGAGCGCAGCAGGCGCCCAGCGCGCGGAACGGGCACCAGUUAUUGCCACCCUCAAAGCCAGUGGGCGAAGACGCCGGCGGGUCAGGGAGACGAGAAAAGGGGGCCUUUUCCCCGUCCAUGCUCUGCGAACUGCUCGUCAACGCGCCGGGCGGGGCCGC